This 507-nucleotide ribosomal RNA is filed under the name Scutellospora sp. Scut1. Its description in RNAcentral is "SSU rRNA". It matches the Rfam family "Eukaryotic small subunit ribosomal RNA", at positions 569 to 1078 of the family's 1831-position model. The record is from RNAcentral. Lineage: Eukaryota; Fungi; Glomeromycota; Glomeromycetes; Diversisporales; Gigasporaceae.
AACAGCCGCGGUAAUUCCAGCUCCAAUAGCGUAAAUUAAAGUUGUUGCAGUUAAAAAGCUCGUAGUUGAAUUUCGGGGUUCUACCGUCGGUCGGGCUAACAAGUCUGUACUGGUGUGUAGAAUUUCUACCUUCUGGGGAACUAUCAUGUUAUUAAUUUAGCGUGGUGGGAAACCAGGACCUUUACCUUGAAAAAAUUAGAGUGUUCAAAGCAGGCUUACGUCUGAAUACAUUAGCAUGGAAUAAUAGAAUAGGACGGUGGUCCUGUUUUGUUGGUUUCUGAAUCACCGUAAUGAUUAAUAGGGAUAGUUGGGGGCAUUAGUAUUCAAUUGUCAGAGGUGAAAUUCUUGGAUUUAUUGAAGACUAACUUCUGCGAAAGCAUUUGCCAAGGAUGUUUUCAUUAAUCAAGAACGAAAGUUAGGGGAUCGAAGACGAUCAGAUACCGUCGUAGUCUUAACCAUAAACUAUGCCGACUAGGGAUCGGACGAUGUUAAUUUUUUAAUGACUCG